This 468-nucleotide ribosomal RNA is filed under the name uncultured bacterium. Its description in RNAcentral is "partial 16S ribosomal RNA". It matches the Rfam family "Bacterial small subunit ribosomal RNA", at positions 28 to 507 of the family's 1533-position model. The record is from RNAcentral.
GACGAACGCUGGCGGCGUGCUUAACACAUGCAAGUCGAACGGAAAGGCCCUGCUUUUGUGGGGUGCUCGAGUGGCGAACGGGUGAGUAACACGUGAGUAACCUGCCCUUGACUUUGGGAUAACUUCAGGAAACUGGGGCUAAUACCGGAUAGGAUCUCCUGCUGCAUGGUGGGGGUUGGAAAGUUUCGGCGGUUGGGGAUGGACUCGCGGCUUAUCAGCUUGUUGGUGGGGUAGUUGCUUACCAAGGCUUUGACGGGUAGCCGGCCUGAGAGGGUGACCGGCCACAUUGGGACUGAGGUACGGCCCAGACUCCUACGGGAGGCAGCAGUGGGGAAUAUUGCACAAUGGGCGGAAGCCUGAUGCAGCAACGCCGCGUGCGGGAUGACGGCCUUCGGGUUGUAAACCGCUUUCGCCUGUGACGAAGCGUGAGUGACGGUAAUGGGUAAAGAAGCACCGGCUAACUACGUG